UGUCGUGAGAUGUUGGGUUAAGUCCCGCAACGAGCGCAACCCUCGCCCUUAGUUGCCAUCAUUCAGUUGGGCACUCUAAGGGGACUGCCGGUGAUAAGCCGAGAGGAAGGUGGGGAUGACGUCAAGUCCUCAUGGCCCUUACGGGCUGGGCUACACACGUGCUACAAUGGUGGUGACAGUGGGCAGCGAGACCGCGAGGUCGAGCUAAUCUCCAAAAACCAUCUCAGUUCGGAUUGCACUCUGCAACUCGGGUGCAUGAAGUUGGAAUCGCUAGUAAUCGCAGAUCAGCAUGCUGCGGUGAAUACGUUCCCGGGCCUUGUACACACCGCCCGUCACACCAUGGGAGUUGGUUCUACCCGAAGGCGCUGCGCUAACCGCAAGGAGGCAGGCGACCACGGUAGGGUCAGCGACUGGGGUGAAGUCGUAACAAGGUAGCCGUAGGGGAACCUGCGGCUGGAUCACCUCCUUUCUAAG
This 474-nucleotide ribosomal RNA is filed under the name Salmonella enterica subsp. enterica serovar Indiana. Its description in RNAcentral is "bacterial SSU rRNA". It matches the Rfam family "Bacterial small subunit ribosomal RNA", at positions 1063 to 1533 of the family's 1533-position model. The record is from RNAcentral. Lineage: Bacteria; Pseudomonadati; Pseudomonadota; Gammaproteobacteria; Enterobacterales; Enterobacteriaceae.